Molecule: microRNA precursor, 92 nt
Filed under: Pelobates cultripes (western spadefoot toad)
Lineage: Eukaryota; Metazoa; Chordata; Amphibia; Anura; Pelobatidae
Source: RNAcentral
AUGUAUGUAUAUGUGUGUGUGUGUGUAUAUAUAUCUAUCUAUAUAUAUAUAUAUAUAUAGAUAGAUAUAUAUACACACACACACACACACAC